RNAcentral lists this ribosomal RNA (429 nucleotides) under Gemmatimonadota bacterium. Its description in RNAcentral is "Gemmatimonadetes bacterium partial 16S ribosomal RNA". It matches the Rfam family "Bacterial small subunit ribosomal RNA", at positions 355 to 776 of the family's 1533-position model. The record is from RNAcentral. Lineage: Bacteria; Pseudomonadati; Gemmatimonadota.
UAGGGAAUCUUCUGCAAUGGACGAAAGUCUGACCGAGCAACGCCGCGUGAGUGAAGAAGGUUUUCGGAUCGUAAAACUCUGUUGUUAGAGAAGAACAAGGACGUUAGUAAUUGAACGUCACCUGACGGUAUCUAACUAGAAAGCCACGGCUAACUACGUGCGAGCAGCCGCGGUACUACGUUGGUUGCAAGCGUUGUCCGGAUUUAUUGGGCGUAAAGCGUGCGCAGGCGGUUUCUUAAGUCUGAUGUGAAAGCCCCCGGCUCAACCGAGGAGGGUCAUUGGAAACUGGGAAGCUUGAGUGCAGAAGAGGAGGAUGGAAUUCCGUGUGUAGCGGUGAAAUGCGUAGAUAUAUGGAAGAACACCAGUGGCGAAGGCGGCUCUCUGGUCUGUGACUGACGCUGAGGCACGAAAGCGUGGGGAGCAAACAGG